CUCAGGAGGCGGCCGCCUUCGUACACACAGGAAAAAGAAAAAACAAAACUAAUUGGGUUUUCCAUUAUUAUAAUGUAUGAAUUUUAGCAAUUGGACACCAUGGCAGACCUUGUUCUGGCUUUAACUGGACCGCCCACCUUUUAAUAAAAGGGAAAGGCCUCUCGAAUGUGAGCCAUCCAACCAAAUGGACAAAGCUUGUCUUCUGCUCGUGUGCAUGAAUCGCUGCUUUGUCUGCUGUAACAGUCUCGAGGUUUGUGCUUCUGACUAGAAUAAAGCUGUCAAGUCAGAGUCACAACCUCCAUUCAGCCUCUAUCAAAGAAAAAUCCAAAAAAAAAAAAAAAAAAAAAGAAAGAAAAUUAUGAAAAGAUUGUCAUU
Salarias fasciatus (jewelled blenny) is the source of this 375-nucleotide long non-coding RNA. RefSeq lists it as uncharacterized. The transcript has 2 exons. The record is from RefSeq and is a predicted model, not a curated record. Lineage: Eukaryota; Metazoa; Chordata; Actinopteri; Blenniiformes; Blenniidae.